CCCUUAGAUGUUCUGGGCCGCACGCGCGCUACACUGAACAGUUCAACAAGUCUUAACCUUGGCCGAUAGGUCUGGGUAAUCUUUGAACGCUGUUCGUGAUUGGGAUAGACCUUUGCAAUUAUGGGUCUUCAACGAGGAAUUCCUAGUAAACGCAAGUCAUCAGCUUGCAUUGAUUACGUCCCUGCCCUUUGUACACACCGCCCGUCGCACCUACCGAUUGAAUGGUCCGGUGAAAUCUCGGGACGGCGGCUUGGUCGCUUGCGUCCGACUGCUGAAACUUGAUUAAACCAUAUCAUUUAGAGGAAGAUGAAGUCGUAACA
This 320-nucleotide ribosomal RNA is filed under the name uncultured eukaryote. RNAcentral's name for it is "partial 18S ribosomal RNA". It matches the Rfam family "Eukaryotic small subunit ribosomal RNA", at positions 1470 to 1796 of the family's 1831-position model. The record is from RNAcentral.